Molecule: long non-coding RNA, 1040 nt
Filed under: Spirodela polyrhiza (greater duckweed)
Lineage: Eukaryota; Viridiplantae; Streptophyta; Magnoliopsida; Alismatales; Araceae
Description: long non-coding RNA (SPOL_LNC001343)
Source: RNAcentral
UCACCUCCCCUGAGAACCUCUCUGCACCUGGAUGGACGGGCCACUGAGGGAGGCGGACUCUUCUUCUCCAUCGAUCCGGGAAAGGAAGGGUGAUGUUGACAGGAAUGGAGAUGAUGCCCGCCAUCGGCCAUGAAACCUUCCAGUCUGAAAGUGGUUCACAAUAACUAUGUUAGAAUAAAACAGUGGAUGAAACAUCAGUGUCAGUGCCUGGAUGAAGCAGGAAGCUCCCUCCCACCCAUUCACUUUUCUCCAGCGAGCAGCUCCCAUCGUCUCCUACCUUUCACCCUUGCUUCUCCGCCUCCAGAUCCAUUCCCGUCCCUUCCUACAUUGCCUCCUCUUCCUGCUGACCAGUGCAAACCCACCAAAAGCUCCCAUCCAGCUGAACAUUCGCAAGCCAUGAAGCUCUUUGAAAAGUUGCAUUCGCUGAACAAUGCUGAAAUUGAUUCAAAUUUUACUUGCCUUCCGUUUCUCCAACAACUCCGCAGUAGCGAUGUCUCCUGAAGGGUGCUCCUAUGUUCUUCGACCCUAAUAGACUGCAAUUCUUUAUAGGUUUUUCCACAUUUUUCAGACUAGGGUAGUGCAGGAGCUCGGAUGAUUUGAGAAAGAAUUAUCCAUUGUUAACUCUGCUAGGGAUCCCCCAGGAUAAAUAUUCAUUGGAUAUGAAUCUAAUUCGGCACCGAUUACAAAAUAAGGCCAGUGAAGUUUCGUCUGAUCUCCUAGGAACCAGCGAUACAUCUCAUAUUCGGGUUAAUCCAUCGAGAUGAAUCACAGAUAUCGGUAUCCAUUGUCGGUCGCUGAUACUUUGAAGAUCCAUUUGCACGAGAAACCCGAUCCAUGUGACCUUCAGCCCCGCUGUGAUAUGGAAAGUCAGGCCAAACAGCUUUUGCGAUUACCUCUGAUUCCACCGCACGGCGGAGCUUUCGUUUUCCUCUGUUCGAAGAUUUCUAGGGAGAAAUCGAGUAAUCACCAGAAUCAAGGAACCUGCGGCCUCGUCUCCCUGAGACGUUCUCCCCUGGAGACUCGAGUCUAGAGUCGCCAUU